GAAACACGGAAGCAAGGUCAAAAAGAAGUACCGUGCGGAACUUCAAGUGUCAGUCAAAUGUCUAAA
Molecule: non-coding RNA, 66 nt
Organism: Caenorhabditis elegans
Lineage: Eukaryota; Metazoa; Nematoda; Chromadorea; Rhabditida; Rhabditidae
Source: Ensembl